GAUGAACGCUGGCGGCGUGCCUAAUACAUGCCAGUCGAGCGAACAGACGAGGAGCUUGCUCCUCUGACGUUAGCGUCGGACGGGGGAGUAACACGUGGAUAACCUACCUAUAAGACUGGGAUAACUUCGGGAAACCGGAGCUAAUACCGGAUAAUAUAUUGAACCGCAUGGUUCAAUAGUGAAAGACGGUUUUGCUGUCACUUAUAGAUGGAUCCGCGCCGCAUUAGCUAGUUGGUAAGGUAACGGCUUACCAAGGCAACGAUGCGUAGCCGACCUGAGAGGGUGAUCGGCCACACUGGAACUGAGACACGGUCCAGACUCCUACGGGAGGCAGCAGUAGGGAAUCUUCCGCAAUGGGCGAAAGCCUGACGGAGCAACGCCGCGUGAGUGAUGAAGGUCUUCGGAUCGUAAAACUCUGUUAUUAGGGAAGAACAAAUGUGUAAGUAACUAUGCACGUCUUGACGGUACCUAAUCAGAAAGCCACGGCUAACUACGUG
This 497-nucleotide ribosomal RNA is filed under the name uncultured bacterium. Its description in RNAcentral is "partial 16S ribosomal RNA". It matches the Rfam family "Bacterial small subunit ribosomal RNA", at positions 28 to 507 of the family's 1533-position model. The record is from RNAcentral.